GGGGAAUAUUGCACAAUGGAGGAAACUCUGAUGCAGCGACGCCGCGUGAGUGAAGAAGUAAUUCGUUAUGUAAAGCUCUAUCAGCAGGGAAGAUAGUGACGGUACCUGACUAAGAAGCUCCGGCUAAAUACGUGCCAGCAGCCGCGGUAAUACGUAUGGAGCAAGCGUUAUCCGGAUUUACUGGGUGUAAAGGGAGUGUAGGUGGCAUCACAAGUCAGAAGUGAAAGCCCGGGGCUCAACCCCGGGACUGCUUUUGAAACUGUGGAGCUGGAGUGCAGGAGAGGCAAGUGGAAUUCCUAGUGUAGCGGUGAAAUGCGUAGAUAUUAGGAGGAACACCAGUGGCGAAGGCGGCUUGCUGGACUGUAACUGACACUGAGGCUCGAAAGCGUGGGGAGCAAAC
This 400-nucleotide ribosomal RNA is filed under the name uncultured bacterium. Its description in RNAcentral is "bacterial SSU rRNA". It matches the Rfam family "Bacterial small subunit ribosomal RNA", at positions 356 to 773 of the family's 1533-position model. The record is from RNAcentral.